RNAcentral lists this ribosomal RNA (207 nucleotides) under uncultured bacterium. Its description in RNAcentral is "partial 16S ribosomal RNA". It matches the Rfam family "Bacterial small subunit ribosomal RNA", at positions 568 to 774 of the family's 1533-position model. The record is from RNAcentral.
CGCGUAGGCGGGCCGGACGGUCCGGGGUGAAAUCCCCCCGCUCAACGGGGGAACGGCCCCGGAUACCGCCGGCCUCGAGGGGGGUAGGGGCGAGCGGAACGCUGGGUGGAGCGGUGAAAUGCGUUGAUAUCCAGCGGAACUCCGGUGGCGAAGGCGGCUCGCUGGGCCCUCUCUGACGCUGAGGCGCGAAAGCCAGGGGAGCGAACG